UGCGUGUGUAUAGUUGUUACAGUGGGCUCCAGACUCGUGAAGAGUAGAGCCAGCGGGUCAGCGGGCCAGCUGGCCGUGCAUUGCUACUGCCACCUGAGACGUUCAGGGCAGUCAGGACCCCCUCUCCCCGACCACCAGGGCAAACAAGUCACCUAGACAGCAGCAAGCGAAGCCAAAGGGAUGUCACGCCAUAUGACGUGCUAACAGACAUAAGAAAUGCGGAUGGAUCACUUAGGGUUUCAUCACCAGAAGGCCCACCAGCAACAACAGAUACUGACAGGAACUUUGCACGUGGUUACUAGAUCAGGCCUGAGCUCCCAAAAGGGUCCGCCCUCGCCAACAUAACAACUGAUCCGACACAAAUCGCAAGAAGAAAGGUGAUGUGAUCAGUAGGUACUAGAUCCCAUCCCUUCGGUGGAACUCCCAGAGCUGCAAACCCCCCCCAAAGGGGGGCCCAAAAGUCAACAACAACUCGUUCAAUUGCUCCUUCUGUAAGGCAAGGGCCAGGGGGGUAUCAGCGCCGGGUCGGACUUAAUUGCUGCAGCCAUAUAUCGCCGUAGUAGUAGCAGGCAAUACAGCGAGCCCCAGACGCAAAGGAAGAUCGUGGGCACCGAGCGCAAAUCCAUGCGGCAGGGUGCCAUCCUGCUUCGGAAUACCCAUGACAGUUUAGUCGCAUUCCUCUAUAUUGAAGCCCCAGGUAUCUAUCGGGACAUCCCCCCGAGUAAGGGGACGGGGAAGGGGAAGUUCAUUUGCGCCGCGAGCGGCUCUGCUGGUGGCAGUGUUUAUGAACGGAGCCGCUCAGACCGCAGGUACCAUCCCAAGCGGCUGAGCGGCUGAGGACGGCAGGCGUCGUUCGGCACCUUGUUCGGCACCUUGUUCGGCAGGCGUCGUUCGGCACCAUAUAGCCACUAUCACAACUUGCAGACUCAACAUCAUAACAAUGACCGAACCGGGUUAACCCGGUCGGUCUAUUUACCUUCAAUAACUUUUCUGAGAACAAAGACAUCAAAAUGGCUCGCAACAGUUCAACGGAUCAGGCCGCCGGUGUGACGGCGGAACGAUCUGAAGCAACCAUAUCAAUUUCCCUUCUUAGGGAAAUUACGAAGAUGGAGCAACCUUUUGGCAAACUUCGAUCGCUGGCAAUGAGAGCAAUCUUUCAAGGAAACUACCUAGAGAACAGAAAGCAGGUAAUAGACAUUAUGGCAGGACCGAUUGGACACCGAAUAGUGCAGACAGUACAACAGGAGCUAAAAGCUCCUUAUGUUUUCGUCGGAGAACCGGUCGCUUGGGAAGCUCGCAACGACGAAGGAGUCGUUGGACAGAUCAACGUCUACGUACCGGAGGAGUGGAUUACGCCCGUAAAAAACUUAGCGGACCAUUGCGGACGAAUCAAUCUAGCAGAUCUCCAUCUAGGAGAUUACCACAUUCAAGAUCUUGUAGUAGACAUAGUGGGGGCAUCUGCCCAAUACUUCAGACUGACAGGAUUACCUCCGGCAUUUCCUCAGAAAUGCCUAUUCUGGCUUAUUGCGGAAGCCUACGGCUUUGACGUAGAUGAAUAUGGAAAGAAAUGGGGGAUAGUCGAGGCUAAUCUCACUACAGCCGUGGUGUGGGUGCGAUGGGAUCAGCCCGCAUUACCCGCCAGGAUGAAUAUUUUCUCCAUUGAGGAGGAUGGCCGGCGGAUUCAUAGGGGAGCGUGGAGAGCGCAACACACGUAUUACGACACACAGACUCCGGCUUUGCCCCGACCCCCCAAGAUUCAACAACGAAACCGCUUGAUACCGAAUCUCCCGCCGCCCAUUUCGGCGGCGGCAGUCAUCGCGGCGCGAGCACGGCCAAAUCUAGCGACGCCAGCUGUGGGUGAGGUAGGAGGAUCAAGUAAUGCACGUCAACCCAUGGCUACUGGACAGCCCCAGACAAUCCAGCAAACAACUCGACAACAGCAGAUGCAAAAUCGAGUAUCCAACGAGGAGGCAGCAGAAAUGGCAGGCAGAGCAGCAGCCGCCGUUGUACGAAGACAAGUACAACAACAGCAGCAACAGCAACAACAGCAACAGCAACAACAGACACAGCAACAGCAACAGCAAACACAGCAGCAACAACAGCAACAGCAACAACAACGACAGAACCAGCAACCACAACAGCAACAGCAACAGAUACAGCAACAGCCGCCACAGCAGCAGCAGCGACAACAGCAGCAGCUCUCAUACACAACCACCAAUCAACCGGGACUACCGACAUCAGCUUCUAUCCCCAAAACUCACUCCAUCACGCACCCCUUACUUGGCCAACCGAUUCAAGAUGUGGCCGGAAAUAGGCCAGAUGAACAGCAAUGGCAAUUACAAAACAGACGGACGCAUCGUGGAAACCCAAUUCUGCCCACCGACCAACCUGUGCUGGGCAAGCAUGCGGACAAACCAACGUCACGCACGUCAUCUCCAGGGAUCAGUCCCCAACACAAGAGGAGGGACUCGGUAAUAAGCCCGCCCAGGUUUCAUGUUCUUCCACAUGACGACCCGGGUGGCCUCAUGCAAGUCGGCGAGGAGGAGGAAGUGAGAAAUAUAGUAGUAGUCCGCGGAAAUGGGGAUACGGAAAUACCCCCUAGGUAAAUGGGGCGACGGACAAGAUGCAGGAGGCCUAAUAAUAGACCCCUUCGCAUAGCGUCCCAUAAUGUAGCAGGUUUAUUCACGCAUUCGGCAUUUACUCGUAUCCAUGCUGCGGCUAGAGUAUGGGCCCAACAUAGGUUAGAUGUCAUUUGUUUACAGGAGACACAUCAUAUGGGAGAUGGAGACCUGACAAUUCUCACUAGAGAAUUGCAAUUCGCGGCUCAGAAAAUAGGGAUACCGGGAUGGGAUAUAAUAGCACAAUCCCCCACGACCAAUGCCCGGACGGCUGGAGUGUUAGUGCUAGUGCGCAAAGAUCUUUAUCGCGACUUUAAAAUAAUACAAACACCGGCACGACUACUUCCGGCUAACAUUCCCCAAGGCCGUAGCGCGUCGGUUUCGUUCACGUGGUGUGGUCACCGUAUUCAUUUGAUUAAUUUGUACCUCAUGACAUCUAGUUACUCGAUAGAUCAGAGGAAGGCGUGUGUGCAUUCUCUUGGCGAUGUGGUAAAUAGGAU
This 3118-nucleotide long non-coding RNA is filed under the name Volvox carteri. RNAcentral's name for it is "long non-coding RNA (VCAR_LNC003547)". The record is from RNAcentral. Lineage: Eukaryota; Viridiplantae; Chlorophyta; Chlorophyceae; Chlamydomonadales; Volvocaceae.